This 160-nucleotide ribosomal RNA is filed under the name Bacillus cereus. RNAcentral's name for it is "partial 16S ribosomal RNA". It matches the Rfam family "Bacterial small subunit ribosomal RNA", at positions 1281 to 1440 of the family's 1533-position model. The record is from RNAcentral. Lineage: Bacteria; Bacillati; Bacillota; Bacilli; Caryophanales; Bacillaceae.
ACCGUUCUCAGUUCGGAUUGUAGGCUGCAACUCGCCUACAUGAAGCUGGAAUCGCUAGUAAUCGCGGAUCAGCAUGCCGCGGUGAAUACGUUCCCGGGCCUUGUACACACCGCCCGUCACACCACGAGAGUUUGUAACACCCGAAGUCGGUGGGGUAACC